RNAcentral lists this ribosomal RNA (430 nucleotides) under uncultured Acidobacteriota bacterium. RNAcentral's name for it is "bacterial SSU rRNA". It matches the Rfam family "Bacterial small subunit ribosomal RNA", at positions 1 to 418 of the family's 1533-position model. The record is from RNAcentral. Lineage: Bacteria; Pseudomonadati; Acidobacteriota.
UGGCAUUAGAGUUUGAUCCUGGCUCAGAAUCAACGCUGGCGGCGUGCCUAACACAUGCAAGUCGAACGCGAAAGUGGAGCAAUCCAUGAGUAGAGUGGCAAACGGGUGAGUAACGCGUGGGUGACCUGCCUUCGAGUGGGGGAUAACGUUUCGAAAGGAACGCUAAUACCGCAUAACAUCCUGUCUUUUAAGAGAUGGACAUCAAAGCUGGGGAUCGCAAGACCUAGCGCUUGAAGAGGGGCCCGCGUCCGAUUAGCUAGUUGGUGGGGUAAUGGCUCACCAAGGCAACGAUCGGUAGCCGGCCUGAGAGGGCGGACGGCCACACUGGGACUGAGACACGGCCCAGACUCCUACGGGAGGCAGCAGUGGGGAAUUGUUCGCAAUGGGCGCAAGCCUGACGACGCAACGCCGCGUGGAGGAUGAAGAUCUU